Molecule: ribosomal RNA, 2898 nt
Filed under: Klebsiella pneumoniae
Lineage: Bacteria; Pseudomonadati; Pseudomonadota; Gammaproteobacteria; Enterobacterales; Enterobacteriaceae
Description: bacterial LSU rRNA
Rfam family: Bacterial large subunit ribosomal RNA
Source: RNAcentral
UUAAGCGACUAAGCGUACACGGUGGAUGCCCUGGCAGUCAGAGGCGAUGAAGGACGUGCUAAUCUGCGAAAAGCGUCGGUAAGGUGAUAUGAACCGUUAUAACCGGCGAUGUCCGAAUGGGGAAACCCAGUGUGAUUCGUCACACUAUCGUUAACUGAAUACAUAGGUUAACGAGGCGAACCGGGGGAACUGAAACAUCUAAGUACCCCGAGGAAAAGAAAUCAACCGAGAUUCCCCCAGUAGCGGCGAGCGAACGGGGAGCAGCCCAGAGUCUGAAUCAGCUUGUGUGUUAGUGGAACGGUCUGGAAAGUCCGACGGUACAGGGUGAUAGUCCCGUACACCAAAAUGCACAGGUUGUGAACUCGAAGAGUAGGGCGGGACACGUGGUAUCCUGUCUGAAUAUGGGGGACCAUCCUCCAAGGCUAAAUACUCCUGACUGACCGAUAGUGAACCAGUACCGUGAGGGAAAGGCGAAAAGAACCCCGGCGAGGGGAGUGAAAAAGAACCUGAAACCGUGUACGUACAAGCAGUGGGAGCACCUUCGGGUGUGACUGCGUACCUUUUGUAUAAUGGGUCAGCGACUUAUAUUCUGUAGCAAGGUUAACCGUAUAGGGGAGCCGCAGGGAAACCGAGUCUUAACUGGGCGUUAAGUUGCAGGGUAUAGACCCGAAACCCGGUGAUCUAGCCAUGGGCAGGUUGAAGGUUGGGUAACACUAACUGGAGGACCGAACCGACUAAUGUUGAAAAAUUAGCGGAUGACUUGUGGCUGGGGGUGAAAGGCCAAUCAAACCGGGAGAUAGCUGGUUCUCCCCGAAAGCUAUUUAGGUAGCGCCUCGUGAACUCAUCUUCGGGGGUAGAGCACUGUUUCGGCUAGGGGGUCAUCCCGACUUACCAACCCGAUGCAAACUACGAAUACCGAAGAAUGUUAUCACGGGAGACACACGGCGGGUGCUAACGUCCGUCGUGAAGAGGGAAACAACCCAGACCGCCAGCUAAGGUCCCAAAGUCAUGGUUAAGUGGGAAACGAUGUGGGAAGGCACAGACAGCCAGGAUGUUGGCUUAGAAGCAGCCAUCAUUUAAAGAAAGCGUAAUAGCUCACUGGUCGAGUCGGCCUGCGCGGAAGAUGUAACGGGGCUAAACCAUGCACCGAAGCUGCGGCAGCGACACUAUGUGUUGUUGGGUAGGGGAGCGUUCUGUAAGCCUGCGAAGGUGUGCUGUGAGGCAUGCUGGAGGUAUCAGAAGUGCGAAUGCUGACAUAAGUAACGAUAAAGCGGGUGAAAAGCCCGCUCGCCGGAAGACCAAGGGUUCCUGUCCAACGUUAAUCGGGGCAGGGUGAGUCGACCCCUAAGGCGAGGCCGAAAGGCGUAGUCGAUGGGAAACAGGUUAAUAUUCCUGUACUUGGUGUUACUGCGAAGGGGGGACGGAGAAGGCUAUGUUAGCCGGGCGACGGUUGUCCCGGUUUAAGCAUGUAGGCUGAUUGUCCAGGCAAAUCCGGAUAAUCAAGGCUGAGGUGUGAUGACGAGGCACUACGGUGCUGAAGUAACAAAUGCCCUGCUUCCAGGAAAAGCCUCUAAGCAUCAGGUAACAUCAAAUCGUACCCCAAACCGACACAGGUGGUCAGGUAGAGAAUACCAAGGCGCUUGAGAGAACUCGGGUGAAGGAACUAGGCAAAAUGGUGCCGUAACUUCGGGAGAAGGCACGCUGGUGUGUAGGUGAAGUCCCUGCGGAUGGAGCUGAGACCAGUCGAAGAUACCAGCUGGCUGCAACUGUUUAUUAAAAACACAGCACUGUGCAAACACGAAAGUGGACGUAUACGGUGUGACGCCUGCCCGGUGCCGGAAGGUUAAUUGAUGGGGUUAUCCGUAAGGAGAAGCUCUUGAUCGAAGCCCCGGUAAACGGCGGCCGUAACUAUAACGGUCCUAAGGUAGCGAAAUUCCUUGUCGGGUAAGUUCCGACCUGCACGAAUGGCGUAAUGAUGGCUAGGCUGUCUCCACCCGAGACUCAGUGAAAUUGAACUCGCUGUGAAGAUGCAGUGUACCCGCGGCAAGACGGAAAGACCCCGUGAACCUUUACUAUAGCUUGACACUGAACAUUGAGCCUUGAUGUGUAGGAUAGGUGGGAGGCUUUGAAGCGUGGACGCCAGUCUGCGUGGAGCCAACCUUGAAAUACCACCCUUUAAUGUUUGAUGUUCUAACGUUGGCCCCUUACCGGGGUUGCGGACAGUGUCUGGUGGGUAGUUUGACUGGGGCGGUCUCCUCCCAAAGCGUAACGGAGGAGCACGAAGGUUAGCUAAUCCUGGUCGGACAUCAGGAGGUUAGUGCAAUGGCAUAAGCUAGCUUGACUGCGAGCGUGACGGCGCGAGCAGGUGCGAAAGCAGGUCAUAGUGAUCCGGUGGUUCUGAAUGGAAGGGCCAUCGCUCAACGGAUAAAAGGUACUCCGGGGAUAACAGGCUGAUACCGCCCAAGAGUUCAUAUCGACGGCGGUGUUUGGCACCUCGAUGUCGGCUCAUCACAUCCUGGGGCUGAAGUAGGUCCCAAGGGUAUGGCUGUUCGCCAUUUAAAGUGGUACGCGAGCUGGGUUUAGAACGUCGUGAGACAGUUCGGUCCCUAUCUGCCGUGGGCGCUGGAGAAUUGAGGGGGGCUGCUCCUAGUACGAGAGGACCGGAGUGGACGCAUCACUGGUGUUCGGGUUGUCAUGCCAAUGGCACUGCCCGGUAGCUAAAUGCGGAAGAGAUAAGUGCUGAAAGCAUCUAAGCACGAAACUUGCCCCGAGAUGAGUUCUCCCUGAGACUUUAAGUCUCCUGAAGGAACGUUGAAGACGACGACGUUGAUAGGCCGGGUGUGUAAGCGCAGCGAUGCGUUGAGCUAACCGGUACUAAUGAACCGUGAGGCUUAACCU